Molecule: ribosomal RNA, 300 nt
Filed under: uncultured bacterium
Lineage: Bacteria
Description: bacterial SSU rRNA
Rfam family: Bacterial small subunit ribosomal RNA
Source: RNAcentral
GAUGAACGCUAGCGGCAGGCUUAAUACAUGCAAGUCGUGGGGCAGCAUGAGUAGCAAUACUUGAUGGCGACCGGCAAACGGGUGAGGAACACGUACACAACCUUCCUUCAAGCGGGGAAUAGCCCAGAGAAAUUUGGAUUAAUACCCCAUAAUAUAUUUGAUAAGGCAUCUUAUUAAUAUUAAAGCUUCGGCACUUGAUGAUGGGUGUGCGGCUGAUUAGAUAGUUGGCGGGGUAACGGCCCACCAAGUCUACGAUCAGUAGCUGAUGUGAGAGCAUGAUCAGCCACACGGGCACCUAGA